UACGUAGGGUGCGAGCGUUAAUCGGAAUUACUGGGCGUAAAGCGUGCGCAGGCGGCUUUGUAAGUCAGAUGUGAAAGCCCCGGGCUCAACCUGGGAAUUGCGUUUGUGACUGCAAGGCUAGAGUAUGGCAGAGGGGGAUGGAAUUCCGCGUGUAGCAGUGAAAUGCGUAGAUAUGUGGAGGAACACCAAUGGCGAAGGCAAUCCCCUGGGUCUGUAUUGACGCUCAUGCACGAAAGCGUGGGGAGCAAACAGG
RNAcentral lists this ribosomal RNA (253 nucleotides) under uncultured bacterium. RNAcentral describes it as "partial 16S ribosomal RNA". It matches the Rfam family "Bacterial small subunit ribosomal RNA", at positions 524 to 776 of the family's 1533-position model. The record is from RNAcentral.